RNAcentral lists this ribosomal RNA (258 nucleotides) under uncultured bacterium. RNAcentral's name for it is "partial 16S ribosomal RNA". It matches the Rfam family "Bacterial small subunit ribosomal RNA", at positions 793 to 1055 of the family's 1533-position model. The record is from RNAcentral.
GUCCACGCCUAACGAUGUCGACUAGUCGUUCGGAGCAGCAAUGCACUGAGUGACGCAGCUAACGCGUGAAGUCGACCGCCUGGGGAGUACGGCCGCAAGGUUAAACUCAAGGAAUUGACGGGGACCCGCACAAGCGGUGGAUGAUGUGGAUUAAUUCGAUGCAACGCGAAACCUUACCUACCCUUGACAUGUCUGGAACCUUGCUGAGAGGCGAGGGUGCCUUCGGGAGCCAGAACACAGGUGCUGCAUGGCUGUCGU